UGGGGAAUUUUGGACAAUGGGCGCAAGCCUGAUCCAGCUAUUCCGCGUGUGGGAUGAAGGCCCUCGGGUUGUAAACCACUUUUGUAGAGAACGAAAAGACACCUUCGAAUAAAGGGUGUUGCUGACGGUACUCUAAGAAUAAGCACCGGCUAACUACGUGCCAGCAGCCGCGGUAAUACGUAGGGUGCGAGCGUUAAUCGGAAUUACUGGGCGUAAAGCGUGCGCAGGCGGUGAUGUAAGACAGUUGUGAAAUCCCCGGGCUCAACCUGGGAACUGCAUCUGUGACUGCAUCGCUGGAGUGCGGCAGAGGGGGAUGGAAUUCCGCGUGUAGCAGUGAAAUGCGUAGAUAUGCGGAGGAACACCGAUGGCGAAGGCAAUCCCCUGGGCCUGCACUGACGCUCAUGCACGAAAGCGUGGGGGAGCAAACAGGAUUAGAUACCC
RNAcentral lists this ribosomal RNA (441 nucleotides) under uncultured bacterium. Its description in RNAcentral is "bacterial SSU rRNA". It matches the Rfam family "Bacterial small subunit ribosomal RNA", at positions 355 to 787 of the family's 1533-position model. The record is from RNAcentral.